RNAcentral lists this ribosomal RNA (253 nucleotides) under uncultured bacterium. Its description in RNAcentral is "partial 16S ribosomal RNA". It matches the Rfam family "Bacterial small subunit ribosomal RNA", at positions 524 to 776 of the family's 1533-position model. The record is from RNAcentral.
UACAGAGGGUGCGAGCGUUAAUCGGAAUUACUGGGCGUAAAGCGUGCGCAGGCGGUUUGUUAAGACAGGCGUGAAAUCCCCGGGCUCAACCUGGGAACUGCGCUUGUGACUGGCAGGCUAGAGUACGGCAGAGGGGGGUGGAAUUCCACGUGUAGCAGUGAAAUGCGUAGAGAUGUGGAGGAACACCAAUGGCGAAGGCAGCCCCCUGGGUCGAUACUGACGCUCAUGCACGAAAGCGUGGGGAGCAAACAGG